RNAcentral lists this long non-coding RNA (909 nucleotides) under Nicotiana benthamiana. RNAcentral describes it as "long non-coding RNA (NBEN_LNC034163)". The record is from RNAcentral. Lineage: Eukaryota; Viridiplantae; Streptophyta; Magnoliopsida; Solanales; Solanaceae.
GUGACCUAACUCCAAAACAUUAACUUCACUCAAUCCAAAAUGCUUCAACCAGCAACAUCAAACAAUCUGUUCAAAAAUUCUUUUCAUUGUACACAUCCACAAAACUGAAAAUUGUACGAUGAAGACACACACAUGCACAGCCUUAAAUAUUUCACAAGUACACGAAAUUCCAACUCAAGUUCAACAUUUUCCAGAUUGUCUAUCGAAAUGCAUACAAAGAAACACUUGACUUAUGAACCCCGCUCUAACCAAAACGGGAUGAACAGUCAUCAGCAUUCUUAACCAUAAGAUGUAAAAACACAAAUAGAAAACUUUAAAAAGAACAAAGUAAAAGAUGGACCUGGACUGCAUUAUUCAAUUAAUUCAAAUGUUCGGCAGUUCUACGGACGGAAACAGAAGACAAUUGCGACCAGAAUUCGACAGACGACCCUCAAGGCAGCCUUGAGCACCAACUGUUUCCCGGAUCUGAGCUUGAUCGGACAGCCUCAAAAGGAUAGGGAUAUGAACGGAGAAACAAACAAAACUCAGGACCUCUCCUUUGGGGAGAAGAACAAGAACAAAUCUAUGUAUGUGUGUCUUUCGUGAAUCUGUCCGUCUAAGUUCCGACGACUGGAUGGUGAAGGCUGUGUGUGUUUUUUGGUGUCGCGACUGAAGUAAGGUCCCUGGUUUGACGAGAUGAGGAGUCGAAGUGUGGCAUGGUUCAUCGGUUAUUGAAGAGAGCAGGCGUCAAUGGAGGUUUUGAAGCUAAAAGAGAAGAGUAGUGGGCUAGGGUCUUUCUCGGUUAGUAGCAGUAACGAUGGAGGAGGAAGAAGAAGACGUGAGAAGGGGCUCCCUUCUGUUGAAAGUUGCGCUCCUGAUGCCUCUUCCCCUAUCAGGCAUUAUUUUCAUUGUAUAGGUUUUAGGUUUUAG